This 253-nucleotide ribosomal RNA is filed under the name uncultured prokaryote. RNAcentral describes it as "partial 16S ribosomal RNA". It matches the Rfam family "Bacterial small subunit ribosomal RNA", at positions 524 to 776 of the family's 1533-position model. The record is from RNAcentral.
UACGAGUGCCCCAAGCGUUAUCCGGAAUCAUUGGGCGUAAAGGGUGUGUAGGUUGUCUUGUUAGUCUUCUGUGAAAUUCUUCGGCUUAACCGGGGGUCCGCAGGGGAAACGGCAAGACUAGAGGAUGUGAGAGGUGAAUGGAACUCAUGGUGUAGGGGUGAAAUCCGUUGAUAUCAUGGGGAACACCAAAAGCGAAGGCAAUUCACUGGCGCAUUCCUGACACUCAAACACGAAAGCGUGGGUAGCGAAUGGG